Molecule: long non-coding RNA, 577 nt
Organism: Saccostrea cuccullata (small rock oyster)
Lineage: Eukaryota; Metazoa; Mollusca; Bivalvia; Ostreida; Ostreidae
Exons: 4
Source: RefSeq, a predicted model, not a curated record
AGAUCACUAGGAUUCCCUUGGCAAGGUGCACAAAGCCUUCGUUGGGCUUUCUUUGGACAAGGCUUAGGUCCCAUUUACCUUGACGAUGUCUCUUGUAAUGGACGAGAAAAAGAUAUUCAGCACUGUGCACACAGUGGAAUUGGUCGUCAUAAUUGUGACCAUAAACAAGAUGUCUCUGUUCGUUGCCUUCCAUUCUGGAACAUAACCACGCGACUGGUAGGAGGUCAAACGCCAUAUGAAGGAAGGGUUGAAGUUAGCAACAAUGGCAUUUGGGGAACUGUUUGUGAUGAUGGCUGGGAUGACAAAGAUGCCGCCGUUGUAUGCCGAUCUUUGGGAUAUCCAACACAAAAUGCUACAAGUUUGUGCUGUUCACAUUAUGGACAAGGAUCAGGUCCAAUAUAUUUAGAUAUCGUCAGCUGUAAUGGAACAGAAACAGAUAUUGAACAAUGCCCAAACCUUGGAUGGGGAAUUCAUAAUUGUGGUCAUCAUGAAAAUGCCUCUGUUUCUUGUUCCCCUUAAAUAUAUUUUUAACAUUCUAUGAGCAGAACUCUUCAUUUAAACUAAAAUAACAUUAUAA